Empidonax traillii (willow flycatcher) is the source of this 709-nucleotide long non-coding RNA. RefSeq lists it as uncharacterized. The transcript is spliced from 2 exons. The record is from RefSeq and is a predicted model, not a curated record. Lineage: Eukaryota; Metazoa; Chordata; Aves; Passeriformes; Tyrannidae.
GCUGAGGCUGUGCUGGCAGAGAGGGCAGCUCAGCUCAGAGAUGCACAGGCCCAACUCUCCAGGAACAAACUGUUGAUCAAAGACCUCCGUGGGGAGAACAGGGGGUUUGCAGUGGCCCUGCAGGCUGCUGAACUGCAGCAGAAGAGCAUGAAGGAGAAGAACCAGCUGUUGGAGGAGCAAGCCUCAGCUCUGAAGCAGCUUAUCGGAAAAAUCACCCCAGCAUCUCUGAGUGGGUGAUGGGACACCUUCAGUGGCAGUCCUGCCCUCGGUCCUGGCUGGGGUUGGUCAGGUGCAGAAGGGGAGGUAUGGCUGGGUUGGGAAAUUAGCCUUGUCCUCUCUGGUCUUGCAGGGUGUUCUUGCAUAGAAAAUAGAUAAUGAAGAGCCCAGAUCUUUAAGGAAGUUUGUCCUGUGGAUAGCUGAAUUUUCCAACUGAAAGCACCAGCUUUGCCGCAUUUCUCAGAGGUAGAGUGUGCUGUUAUAAGUCAGGUCUGUCUCAGGGCAGCCAUCCCACAGGAUUUUCUUAAACUCCAGCAGUGUUUGGUGGUGAUGCAGAUGCUCCCUUUCUGCGGAGGGUUGAUGUUCAGGCCACACUGUUAUGGCUGGAAAGCCAGGGCAGAAGGGCUUGCAUGUUCCUGUGUCUGGCUCACUCUGAUCAGGAAAGCUUUGUGGUGGCAUUAAAACGUUUGUAAUAUUACAGCACUUCCUGCCA